GUUGGUGCAGUUUCAUAUUAUACCAAAAAUUCUUACAACUGCUAAUUUUCAGACUGUCAGUAACCCUAUAACGACACUGGCAGGAUCUGGUAGUCGUUUUGCUCUUAAUGUGAUAACCACAGAAAAUAUGGUGAACGUAACUUCAGGACUUACCAAUACAAGCGUAUCGGCAAUUGUAUACACUGAUAGCCAGCUUGCUGUCUAUCAGGUCGACAAGGUGCUACUUCCUUUAGAUAUUUUUGCCCCUAAAGCUCUUGCUCCUGCACCAGCACCACCAAAGCCUAAAAAGGAUGAUGGUGCAGACACUCCUAUGGUUCCAAAGGAUAUUUCUGGUGCAGUAAGCUGUGUCAUGCUUAAUACUAUGCUUAUCUCCGGAGUUAUCAUAGUUGCUGCAGCUUUUCCUUUGUGACCCUGGUGUUUUGACAAGGUAUCAAUUUCUUCAUCAGUGGUUCAUGAUUCUGCUGGUUGUAAUGAACUGUGGUGUUUAACAGGUUCAUUGCUUUGAAUAAUUGUCAUUUCCUCUCAAUUCUAUUUGUGUUCUUCCAAGUUUGUAAAUAACUCUGCCUUUGAUUUUUAUUUUUAUUUAUUGGUUAUUGCUCUUAUUCUGCUUUCAUGUAUUCUGUGGAAUUGUAAUUUAUAUCAGAGAAAAAGAAAUAUAAUGUUGAUGUGCUUUGAUUUUUCAAUCCUACAUUAAUUUGGAAGCAAUCAAAUUAACAUCUUGAAAUUCACAUUUAUAUUAUAAAAUCACCUCUCUGCAUCAAAGCAUCUCCUCAAACACUGUAACAAAUGGCCAGAAAAUUUCUGCUGCUGUGAUGCAAUGUACACAAUCAAACCAUGAACCAAGUAAGCUUUAUCAACUCUCCAUUGAAGACAGUUAGAAAAACCAAAAGAUUGCGACUUAAGUUUUUCUAGACCUUGUAUCGAUGCUUGUGCCGACUCCAACAUCUUUUUAGUAUAACUGAUCGAAAGUGCCUCGUCGCUAGAAACUACAUGGUUGAUACCUUUCUGCUACAUUUGUUAAUCUUCAACUUCAGAAGUUAGCUGUAAACUAGGAAUUAAAGACAAGGUUAUAUCCCUGGAAGAAACAACAUGGUAAUGUUAUCCUUGAAAUUACACGAUUGACUUUAGACAAAUAUUGGACGAAAAUUUUUUCCAAAUUCAACUACUCCAUUUCACUUGAAACACCUGCAAACUACCAACAGUAGAUGCAACUACGAAAGGAGGAAAGCGAGAAAUCAUCAGCCAAAGGAGCAAAAAAUCCUAGCACCAUAAAUGAUUAAAAUCCACUUGGAGGAGCAUAAAAAGGUUUAAGGAUGAAGCACAUUAGUGCUACAUAACAUGAACUUAAUCAUACAAAUAUUACAGGAAAAAUUAGCAUUCAUAACCUUUUUGCAUACAGAUUCUUCUUCUUGUUAUUCCUGAAGAGUACAAGCUGAAGUUCUUCCUGAUGACAAGAAAGCACAUAAUUUAAUGAUAUCAGAAUACAUGAUUGUAUACAUGUAACAUAUGAGAGAUCAUUACAUGAACCUGGUCUAUUGGACGACAAAGCCAAUCAUAUUUUCUGGAUUUGCAGCACCAACUGGUUAUAAAAAGUAAGGUCCACUGCUUGAACCAAUUAAAGCUGUUUUGGUCCUUUGGACAGGAUUCUUGUAAUAAUUUAUCGAUCAUAAAAGAUAUGUUUUGCAAGACAUGGAACUAAAAGUAGGCAAUCUGAAUCCAGCUAAAGCUGAAACUGUUAAUUAUGAAAAGCUGCGUUGUUUUUCUUUCUUUUUGUUUCCCAAACAACAUGGUGCUUGCAUGUUAUUCUUUCAAUGCCAAUAAAUCUGUCAAUGGUUCCGUUCAGAAAACUCAGAACCAACCACACCGGAACCCAAAAUACAGGAACCAAUCCUUGUACUCUCUAUCUAUUUAUAUCUCUGUAUGCCCUAAGACUAAAAGCAACAAUAGUGGAAAAUAACUGGAAUAUCCGUUCAAGCAUAUCUAUGAGGCACGCGGAGGCAACUUGCACUCAGGAAUUCUCAAGAAUGAGCUUGUUCACAACGAAUACUCACAAGGUGCUUCAGCAGCAAGAGCCGUCAACUCCUCAUUCCCCGGUGUGUCUAGUUCUCUUUGAUUGUUAGCAGCCCCAUGAAGACAACGAGCACAAGUCACUCAGAAAAUUUCUUGGCAAUCAGUAGGAUCAUGCCAAUGGUACUAUUUUUCACCAGCAAUUCCCAAAAGAAAAAAUCCUAGAUUGAAAUAAUAGCUUAGAUCAAGUAUUUGCAGCCAUUAACCUGCUGAUUCUAACUACUGAGGCUAAGAACACAAAACGAAGGCAUAGAUUUGGUCAUGGUCACAUUGAUCACAACAUUUCUAGUGAUUUUUUUUUUCACAUUUAUCUCCUGUAUGCUUAUCUCAAAUUUCCAGUCACUUUGCAACAGAUUGUUUUUUUUUUUUUUUUGUUCUGUCCAUUAUUUUUUCCCCUGGAAAACAUGAUACAUUUGGUGAAGCAUCACACAGAAAGUUGAUUGAUAAAGCUAUCCUUCCUGUUUGACACAGACAGAGCUCAUUUCAACAAUCAUGCACAUCUUUAACACAAUCUCCCCUCCUACUUUUCGAGAAAACUAGUUGCUGCUGAAGUAGCUGCUAUGUUUGUGAAACUGAAAUUACACAUUUCACCUAAUCUCAUCCUCUCACAACCAUAAUAAAAACCCUCACUAUCCUCUCUUUGCACAUCAAGCAUUUGAACAGGUAGUAUUGGCAUAUUUCUAUUAGCAAUUCUGCAUAGCAACAAUACAUCCCAAAAACCACACAAAGAUGAAGCAACAAAUUUCCCUCUUCUCAUUUUCACUUGUCCUUCUCUUCCUCCACUGCACCCAAACUCUAUCCCAGUCUCCUACUUCAGCACCAGCAAAAGCACCUACUGCAGCCUCUGCACCUCCACCAGCUGCAACCUCGUCUGCACAGGCCUCGCCGCCCGUUAUGGUUCCUGUACAAGUUUCGAAAGGUCCUGUCAAUGUCAUUAAAAUCCUUCAGAAGGCUGGCGGCUUUGCGGUCUUUAUCCGCCUUAUAAAAUCCACUCAAGAGGACAUCCAAGUAUUCUCCCAGCUCAAUGACUCGAGAGAUGGCGUCACCAUCUUUGCCCCAACCGAUGGGGCCUUUUCAGCCAUUAUCAAAUCAGGUGUUCUUAACUCCCUAAGUGAUCAUCAGAAGAUUGAGUUGGUGCAGUUUCAUAUUAUACCAAGAAUUCUUACAACUGCCAAUUUUCAAACUGUCAGUAACCCUAUAACGACACUGGCAGGAUCUGGUAGUCGUUUCGCUCUUAAUGUGAUAACCACAGAAAAUAUGGUCAAUGUAACUUCAGGACUUACCAAUACAAGCGUAUCGGCAAUUGUAUACACUGAUAGCCAGCUUGCUAUCUAUCAGGUCGACAAGGUGCUACUUCCUUUGGAUAUUUUUGCCCCUAAACCUCUUGCUCCUGCUCCAGCACCACCAAAGCCUAAAAAGGAUGAUGGCGCAGAGAGUCCUCUGGUUCCUGAGGAUACUUCCAGUGCUGUAAGCUGCAUCCCGCUUAACUCCCUGAUCAUCUUUGGAGCUGGUAUGGUUGCUGCAGUUUUUACUUUGUGACCAUGAAGUUGAGGACAAGGUAUCUUGCGAUGAGGUCACUUCUUCACCAAGGUUCAUGAUUUUGCUCGAUAGAAUGAACUGUGAUGUUCACGAGGUUGUGCUUUGAAUAAAUGUCUUCUUCUCUCAAAUUUGUUUGUGUUUUUUCAAGUUUGUGAAGAACCUUCCAUUUAACUAUGGUUUUUCAUUGUUUAUUCAUCAUUUUUUUCUUCUUUUUCCCCUUCUUUUGUGUGUUAUUUGGGAUGAUAAUUUAUAUUAGAAAAAUAAAUUCUACGCUUAUUGUGCUUUAUUUUGUCAAGAUUACAUUAAUUUGGAUUCAAUUAAGCUUGCUUCAAAUUUUAAUCUCUAGUGUAUUAUAUGAAAAUUGCUACUAACUCCUCCGAAGAAAAAUAUCAGUACAAAUAAAAACUCACCUCUUCAAUCUCUCUCUUUGGUAUGGAAAACGCUACCGACCACUUCAAACAUAUACGUUCUGCAUGCAUUUUCUACUUACGCGACCGGAACUAAUAUACAGCAGUAUAUAAUCUGAUGUGAUCCUAGAAAACAUAAGGCUAUAGAUGUUAUGUGAAUCAAUAAUUUAAAACUCAAGAUGAAAACUAAUGAUGUAAAACUCAAACUCAAUUCAUGCUUGGCUGCGUCAGCAAGUUGAUCAAUGAAUCAAUAGUAACCAAAGAGGAAGACUGAAGGUGUGUGUGAGGGUUUUACAGGUAAGUGAAUGGAAUACAUGUGAGAAUAGUUCACCGCAUGAUCCAGUGGUGGCUUAAGCAGACGCAAAUUUUGGGGCUGUAUAGAGAAUAAUCUUGACUUCUGGAGUUAGUUAAUCCGGAUGCAGGUUUCCUUUACGCCAUUUACAAACUGAGUUCUCUGUUAGAAAUAGAGAGGGAAAACAAGAUCAGAUACGCUAAUGCAUAGUAGAGAUAGUGUACAAGGAAAGUCAGAGUGUACAUUAACAUAUUGCAAUAUAGAGAUUGUAAAUUGUGGAAGUGAUACCAGUAUUAUUAGGAUUUGAGGGACUACGCAGCUUAUAAGCUCCAAGUCCCACCUUUUUCUUUAAAAGACGCCUUUUUAAGAUAAAAUUCACCGUGAGACCGUAGGGAUAAUACCUCUUAAGAGGCCAGCCAUAUAUUAGAUUUGGGCUAACAUCAUCAUUGACGCCCUUUAUGGGAACGUAGGCUAUGUGCUCUCGGCUCCCAAGCCCCUUGACUAGAAGGCUAUGAUGAUACCAGCAUUCCAUCAGCUAAGAGUCGAGGACAUAGGCAGCUCAUAAGCUCUAGGUAUCACCUCUCUCCUCAAGAGGUGCAUUUUCAAAACAAAGCACGCUACGGCCCGAACACGAGACAAUAUAUCUUGAGGUACCCGCCAUGCGGCGGGUUUGAGCCAAUACCAUCGGUAAGGAAACUGCACAAGAUAGAAGAUACUGCACAAUGCAAGCCAUGAUCUAAGACAUGCUUUAAGGAUUAGAUGCAGUGUUAGUUAAAGGACUUGCUUGGAGCACCGAGUCUACAGAAUUAUGUAAAUUCUCGUAGAAUCAGCAGAAAUCCGCGACACAAAUCUGCACAUAUCUGAUCUGCCAUCUUCCCUUUUCUCUUUAUUGCUAACAUUUGGAACAUGCUACUCACUUUAAAUAUGGUAGAGUCAUGUUCUUUAUAAGAGAAGGAUUCUUCAACACAAUAUACCUUGCACUCUUCAGGAUUUUAAAUUUCCCAUCACCUUUAGUAUCAGCAUCACAAAAUGCCAGUCAAGUAAUCCAAAAGAGAAAAGAAGCAUCAGAUAUUUCAAUCAAAUAAUCAUGAAAAAACAGCUUCGACAAGGCCACCAAUUGUCACAUUAUCACAAUCAUCUCGUCGACAUCAUCUGAUAGUUCCAGAUCCGAUUCUUGAAAGUUGACAGUACCAUCUCCAAUAACUAUCAAAUAUUUUAAGUUGACGAGGCAGAACAUACAUUUGAAAAAACAUAGUCGCUGCUAAAAUCAUUAGUUUUGGUUAACAACACAUCCUUCUUAGUUCUAUUAUUCAAUAAAUUAUCAAACUAUAGCCACAUCUGGGGUUUGUGAAUGUGGGAUUAUUAUCUGAAAGAAAAGAAACACAGAAAAGAAAAAACUUUAAAACAUCAAGGACUGAAUGCAAGAGAAGGAAAUGGUAAAACAAAGAAUUGCAGUUCAUCUCCUUUCUAUUCAAUAAAACCAGUUUGUCUUGGAUCAUAUAAUCUGAUAGAAACUGCAGAAAAAUUCUCUCCUUAUUAGUAAUUUAUUCAGGAGAAUCUGCGAAAAGCUUUACGUGAGUAACUUUCAAUAUUUAUGGUUCAAAUGACCCUAAUUCGAAAAGCUUGUUCCAGGGCUCGCACCGCUAUAUAAGCCUAACUUGUGAGCUAUUUCAGUAAUAAUUAUUCCUUAAGCCAUGUGUUCAUAGGGGUUAAACUCACCUCAUGUCCCUGUACCAUGUCGAUUUGGUUAAAUCAACUUCUUAAUGAAAAAAGGAUAGAAUUAUCAUCUGCAUUGGACCAUUUUCAACCCAUUUUUAGUGGAUCAAAACAAGUGUCGACAUCUAAUUGGCCAGCAAUUGGUCACCAGACACCAUUCAGUCUAAAAUGCUUCAAUCUAUGUGGUGAAGGGGUCAAUUAUAGCCCUUUUCAUGUAGAAUGGUUUAUCUGAUUAAAUCGGUACGAUACAAUGAUGUAUGAUGAUUUUAAUCUUGUGUUCAUAUUAUUUUUCAUUUUGAUGCUCCGACUUUCUCAUUCAAUGAUAGAAAAUGCUCCAUUCGAACUAGUAAAAGAUGUCUGCAACUAAUCCAAGGCAUUGAUGGCCAAAAUAUAUGGAAUUUUGGAAACAAUGAUGCAUGUGUUGGUAUUCUUCAAAUGGAUGCUAGAACUGCCUCAGCAAGUAUCACCACCCUUGCUAAAAUCAGUAUCCAGUUAGCAAUUUCCAGCACAAAAUACACAAAUCUUAAUAAAGAGCUUGCUCGAUACAACAUCUGCUGCUUUACAAAAAACUCUUCAGGCUUUUUUCUCCUCAUACGAAUCUGUUAUGAGAAAUUUAAAAGCUGUUGCUUUUGUGGCCAAGUGAAGAUGAACUUAAAACAGCAAGCUAUGCUGCCAUGACUACUACACAGAUUAUCUCAAGGAAUGUGAAGAUGAAUUGGCAAGCAACAAGGCUCACAUCAUGAAACUUACAACCAGAAUCCACCAUGCACGCCUGUGCUUAACGUUGCAGAUUUGCUCAUAACCCAUCUUCAACUUGUAUCUCCUGAUCAGCCAUAGCUCAAUAUACAAAGAUAUGCAAGGACUUAACCUUUAACAAGGAAGGUUCCAUUGAUGGUUUUUACAUGCAAGGUUUAAUCCUUAUUUGAUCUGGCCUGUCCAAUCUAAAUUAUUUUCUAGUAUCUCAUAAAAAAAAUCUGAGGUAAGGACUUCUGCGUAUCCCUUUUCUCUGAAAGAAACUUUUCCUUAACUUAUCAAACAUCCUUGAAAUUUUUAUCUAUAUCAUAUAUAAUACAUGUUAAGUGCUAAUUCAAAGAAAAAUACAGGUAAAAACACACUUCUUAUACAUUUUAUAUAUUACAUUGCAAAAUUUAUGAUGCUGUGACGCAAUGUACCAUGCAAAACAUGAGCCGAACUAAGCUUUACCAGUUUUGCAUUAGAAAAGUUUACGAUGGCAAAUAAGCUGCACCUUGUAGAUCAGAUCUUGGCUGCACUUAGGAGUUUGUAACCUCAAGUCUGUCUAGCUCUUGUAUUGACACAUGCGAAUUCGAGCAUCUCUCAAAUAGAGUUGAUCCAAAACGAGCGGAUUACCUUUGCUAGAAAUGACGUGAUUGAUACCUUUCUGCUACACUUCUGAAUCUUCAACUUCAGUGCUUAACACGAAGCUAGGAAAUGCCAAGGUUAUAUCCCUGGAAAGAGAAAAAAUUGCAAAGCCUAAAGUUAAAACACUUGAAUUGCGGAGACACAUUCUAGAUUGAUCUUACUCAAGUAAUAAGAGGUAGGUGCAGUGUGCCUGUGCACAAUUUACAAAAUGAGUAUGGAACUCGGUCCUCACUUUAAAUAAGGUAGAGUCAUGUUCUUUAUAAGAGAAGGGUUCUUAGACACAAAUUCCUUCCACUCUUCAGGAUCAAUUUUUCCAUCACCUUUUAAAUCUGCAUCACUAAAUGUCUGUGGAAAGAAAGGGGAAAAUAGAAUAAUUAACCAAAUAAGAAUGAAACAAUGGAAUUUGACACAGCAGAACCAAAUUGUACCUUGUCAACAAUUGUUUCAACAACAUCAUCAGACAGCAAUAGAUCCGAUUCAUGCAGAAUUGCCAAUACCAUCUCCUUCAACUGUUUAAUAACUUCAGCUCGUGAGGUAGAAUAUACAUUCAGAAAUACACACACACACACACUGCUGGUAAUCAUUAUUUCCUUUUUUCAUCAAAUUCCCCUUAAUUAUCUCAUGGUAUAAAUUGUCGAACUUAGCCACUUCUGGAAUCAUAUAUUUUUACCAGAAAGAAUAAAAAAGCAAACCUUAAAACAUGUCUGCAAUUAUCAGCUUGCUGCGUGUUAUGGUAUGUAAGAGAAAGAAAUGGCAAAGAGAAGAAUUGCAGAACUCACCUCCUCUCGUUCAAUGAAACCAGUUUGCCUUAAAUCAUAUAAUCUGAAAGUAACUGCAAGAAACUCCCCCUUGAUUAGUACAUUAUUAAGGAGCAGGUGCAAAAAACGUUUAAGUGACAUGCAGAAAAAAAACGUGUCUGUGUCUGAACUCAAGCCCCUACUUGUAUAUCAUCCUAGAGGAACAUUAGGCUUACAAUGGAUCUUGUCUUCAACUGGUGCAUUUGGAUGAAAGACACCCAAAGAUCGAACAAAUUCUCCAAACUCAAUUACUCCAUUGCGCUUGACAUCAAAUAAAUCAAAAAUCUGCAGAAGUGAAGCAAAGAGAUGCAACUUAGAAAGAAGGAAAAAUGACACUGCUAUAUUAUACGAAAAGGUUGCACUACAUACCCUGUCUGCGAAAAGGUUCCUCCUGUUUUUGUUCCUGAAGAGUGCAAGCUGAAGUUCUUCCUGAUGAGAAGGAGACAUUUAAAUGAGAUUACACAUGUUAUUAAUUAAGUCAUGAUUGUGAACAUAAUUAGAUUAACAUACUUGGAUUAACAUACUUGGAUUAUAUACCUUGUGAAUAAGCCCAUCAUCAAUGACUGAACUGCUUAAUUUCUUAAAGAGUUCGUAUAAAGCCUCUACUUCGCUAACAGUAACUGCAAUAAAAAAAAUAUUUCGCAUUUCAACAGCCAAUCACACAUAAUUAACAGUUGUUUUCAACAUGCUACAAAAUAAAAACUUUAGGAACAGGAUCUAGCUGAAACUCAAACUAAUGAUUAGGAAAAGCAGCAUUGUUUUCCUUUCUUUUCUUUUUCCAUGACAACAUGACUUUUAUGCUUCUUAUGCCUUUCAGUGCCAAUGGAUCUGUCAUUGUUGUAGUGACCAACCACACCAAAGGUU
RNAcentral lists this long non-coding RNA (9062 nucleotides) under Populus trichocarpa (black cottonwood). Its description in RNAcentral is "long non-coding RNA (PTRI_LNC002852)". The record is from RNAcentral. Lineage: Eukaryota; Viridiplantae; Streptophyta; Magnoliopsida; Malpighiales; Salicaceae.